GAUUUGGGAGUUGGGAGGUGAGAUGAUUGGAGUGAAGAGAGUUAAUGUCAUGGAAAGGAAAAGCUGUCUGAAGAAAAAUACACAUUUUAAUGUCCCUCUUCAGCCGUGCCUGCUGAGAGCUCUCCUGGGAUGAUAAGUGAAAGUGUUUGGAUUUUUUUUUAAGUUUUAAAACUCUGCCAAAGCAUUGCUCAGUGUAUCUGGGCAGCCCCUUCCGGCAAAACGCAGCAGUAGCAGAGGCAGCUUCUGAGAGCCUGGGCAGGCAGCAGCUGGCUGACCAAGUCCACUGGAAGAGAAGGCUUGUGCCAGCCGGGAGAAGGAAGCCGGGGACAGGAUGAAAGCAACAACACCUUUACAGACAGUCGACCGGCCCAAGGACUGGUACAAGACGAUGUUUAAGCAAAUUCACAUGGUGCACAAGCCGGGUCUGUACAACCCACCCUACAGUGCUCAGUCACACCCUGCUGCAAAGACCCAAACCUACAGACCUCUUUCCAAAAGCCACUCUGACAACAGCCCCAAUGCCUUUAAGGAUGUGUCCUCCCCAGUGCCUCCCCCACAUGUUCCACCUCCAGUCCCACCGCUUCGACCAAGAGAUCGGUCUUCAACAGAAAAGCAUGACUGGGAUCCUCCAGACAGAAAAGUGGACACAAGAAAAUUUCGGUCUGAGCCAAGGAGUAUUUUUGAAUAUGAACCUGGCAAGUCAUCAAUUCUUCAGCAUGAAAGACCACCCCCUCUCCCAACAACUCCGACACCUGUUCCAAGGGAACCUGGCCGGAAGCCUCUUUCUAGCUCCCGACUCGGAGAAGUCACUGGUAGCCCCUCCCCUCCGCCCCGGAGUGGCGCCCCCACACCAAGCUCGCGCGCCCCGGCUCUGUCUCCCACCCGGCCUCCUAAAAAGCCUCUGGACUAUGUUCAAGAUCAUUCUUCUGGUGUUUUCAAUGAGGCCUCCUUGUAUCAGUCCUCUAUAGACAGAAGCCUGGAAAGACCCAUGAGUUCUGCAAGCAUGGCCAGUGACUUCAGGAAGCGGAGGAAGAGCGAGCCUGCAGUGGGUCCACCACGGGGCUUGGGAGAUCAAAGUUCGAGCAGGACUAGCCCAGGCCGAGUGGACCUCCCAGGAUCAAGCACCUCUCUUACAAAGUCUUUCACUAGCUCUUCUCCUUCUUCCCCAUCAAGAGCAAAAGACCGUGAGUCCCCUAGAAGUUACUCAUCCACUUUGACUGACAUGGGGAGAAGUGCACCAAGGGAAAGAAGAGGAACUCCAGAAAAAGAGAAAUUGCCUGCAAAAGCUGUUUAUGAUUUUAAGGCUCAGACAUCUAAGGAGUUGUCAUUUAAGAAAGGAGAUACUGUGUACAUCCUCAGGAAAAUUGAUCAAAAUUGGUAUGAGGGAGAACACCACGGGAGAGUGGGCAUCUUCCCGAUCUCAUACGUAGAGAAACUCACGCCUCCUGAGAAAGCACAGCCUGCAAGACCACCUCCGCCAGCCCAGCCCGGAGAAAUCGGAGAAGCUAUAGCCAAAUACAACUUCAACGCAGACACAAAUGUGGAGCUGUCACUGAGAAAGGGAGAUCGAGUUAUUCUUCUUAAAAGAGUUGAUCAAAACUGGUAUGAAGGUAAAAUCCCAGGAACCAACAGACAAGGCAUCUUCCCUGUUUCCUAUGUGGAGGUCGUCAAGAAGAACACAAAAGGUGCUGAGGACUACCCUGACCCUCCAAUACCCCACAGCUAUUCUAGUGAUAGGAUUCACAGCUUGAGCUCAAAUAAGUUGGCUUCCAGUGAACCAGCCCCUCCUCCCACCCACAAAGUCUCACCUGGCUCAGAUAAAGGAGCUCUCCGGGGAACUGGCCAGGGCUGGUUGUCCCUGACAGCCUCAUGUCUACCAGCAAACCCUUUGGCCCCAACACCACCUCCUUUCCUGGACGACUCCUUGGGUGAAUUGGAGAAGCUUGGUGCUUUAACCUUGUCCGCUGACCAAGCCAAACCAACCAUCCUAGAGGACACCAUCCUGGAAAUUAAGGAGGAACCUGCUGUCCUCCUCCCAUUGUCCCCAGCGACUGCACCUGCCGAAUCACCUUCCACUCACGCGGGUGUGGCCUCGG
RNAcentral lists this small RNA (2096 nucleotides) under Pan troglodytes (chimpanzee). Its description in RNAcentral is "processed transcript". The record is from RNAcentral. Lineage: Eukaryota; Metazoa; Chordata; Mammalia; Primates; Hominidae.